CAUAUAUUGUUGAAAAAGCAACACUAUUAACUGAACUUCGGUCAGAAUCGUUUUUUCGUUAGCAAUGGCUUUUUCCAAUAAUAAUGUAAGCCAUUUAGAAAACGAAAAAAUGGCAUAAAUCGUAAGCUACUAGUUUCAAAAUGCAACAAAAAACGUUUCUUGGUAAUAGAAAAACACCAUAAUAUUCCAGUUAAUCCGGUUUUUUUCUCUUGUUUUCCCCUAAUGUUAAGAAAAAUUCAAGGUAAAAAAGGGAUCACUUUAAUGCACCAACUAAACGAAAUUUGCAAUCAGAAACCAUUGAAUUUGAUGACUUGAACAUGUUUUCUAUUCAUGAACUCAAAGGAAAACUUGUAUACAUACAAAUAUAAAAAUAAAAAUAAAUAAGCAUUGAAACCUGGCCACCGGCCGAUUACCUUAAUGCAGGGAGUGGCCCAUUGUCUUCUGAGAUAUAAAACUAUAUG
Cinara cedri is the source of this 461-nucleotide non-coding RNA. The record is from the annotation of a GenBank genome assembly. Lineage: Eukaryota; Metazoa; Arthropoda; Insecta; Hemiptera; Aphididae.